UACAGAGGGCGCAAGCGUUGUUCGGAUUCAUUGGGCGUAAAGGGUGCGUAGGUGGCUUGGCAAGUCUGGGGUGAAAUCCUGGGGCUCAACCCCGGAACUGCACUGGAUACUGCUUUGCUAGAGUACUGGAGAGGGAACUGGAAUUUACGGUGUAGCAGUGAAAUGCGUAGAUAUCGUAAGGAAGACCAGUGGCGAAGGCGAGUUACUGGACAGUUACUGACACUGAGGCGCGAAGGCCAGGGGAGCAAACGGG
This 253-nucleotide ribosomal RNA is filed under the name uncultured bacterium. Its description in RNAcentral is "partial 16S ribosomal RNA". It matches the Rfam family "Bacterial small subunit ribosomal RNA", at positions 524 to 776 of the family's 1533-position model. The record is from RNAcentral.